CCUACGGGAGGCAGCAGUGAGGAAUAUUGGACAAUGGAUGGAAAUCUGAUCCAGCCAUGCCGCGUGCAGGAAGACGGCCCUAUGGGUUGUAAACUGCUUUUAUAUGGGAGCAAUAUGGUCUACGCGUAGACCGAUGAGAGUACCAUAUGAAUAAGCAUCGGCUAACUCCGUGCCAGCAGCCGCGGUAAU
RNAcentral lists this ribosomal RNA (189 nucleotides) under uncultured bacterium. RNAcentral describes it as "partial 16S ribosomal RNA". It matches the Rfam family "Bacterial small subunit ribosomal RNA", at positions 338 to 524 of the family's 1533-position model. The record is from RNAcentral.